CGGACGGGUGAGUAACGCGUGGAAAACCUGCCGUAUACUGGGGGAUAACACUUAGAAAUAGGUGCUAAUACCGCAUAAGCGCACAGCUUCGCAUGAAGCGGUGUGAAAAACUCUGGUGGUAUACGAUGGUUCCGCGUCUGAUUAGCUAGUUGGUGGGGUAAUGGCCUACCAAGGCAACGAUCAGUAGCCGGACUGAGAGGUUGGCCGGCCACAUUGGGACUGAGAUACGGCCCAGACUCCUACGGGAGGCAGCAG
RNAcentral lists this ribosomal RNA (255 nucleotides) under uncultured bacterium. RNAcentral's name for it is "partial 16S ribosomal RNA". It matches the Rfam family "Bacterial small subunit ribosomal RNA", at positions 99 to 354 of the family's 1533-position model. The record is from RNAcentral.